GUCAGUGUGGCAUAGUGGUUUCAGUGCUGGACUACAACUCUGGAGACCAGGGGUUGAAUCCCUGCUCAGCCA
This is a non-coding RNA of Phrynosoma platyrhinos (Desert horned lizard), 72 nucleotides long. Lineage: Eukaryota; Metazoa; Chordata; Lepidosauria; Squamata; Phrynosomatidae. The record is from the annotation of a GenBank genome assembly.